UUACUUACCUGCAGGGGAGAUACCAUGAUCGUGAAGGUGGUUUUCCCAGGGUGAGGCUCAUCCAUUGCACUCUGGAUGUGCUGACCCCUGCGAUUUCCCCAAAUGUGGGAAACUCGACUGCAUACUUUGUGGUAGUGGGGGACUGUGUUCCCACUCUCACCUG
Molecule: small nuclear RNA, 163 nt
Organism: Oryctolagus cuniculus (rabbit)
Lineage: Eukaryota; Metazoa; Chordata; Mammalia; Lagomorpha; Leporidae
Gene: U1
Rfam family: U1 spliceosomal RNA
About the family: U1 is a small nuclear RNA (snRNA) component of the spliceosome (involved in pre-mRNA splicing). Its 5' end forms complementary base pairs with the 5' splice junction, thus defining the 5' donor site of an intron.
Source: Ensembl